RNAcentral lists this long non-coding RNA (427 nucleotides) under Rosa chinensis. RNAcentral's name for it is "sRNA RchiOBHm_Chr6g0257201". Lineage: Eukaryota; Viridiplantae; Streptophyta; Magnoliopsida; Rosales; Rosaceae. The record is from RNAcentral.
UGACUAAAACUGUUAGGCAAGGAAUGUAGUGCAUAAUGCACUACCUGCUCAUCCCUAACCCCCAUCAAGAGCUCCCUGAGUCUGCCAUUUAUAUUGAUCAUCUUCAUAAUAUGCUCUCUAACUCCCCCUGAACCCAUGUACUUCAAAUCAUGAAACUCCUUGGUUAGCCUAGCAGCUUCUGCCUUUUCACUUUCUUUAAACUUAGCACCUAUGAGUUCCAGAAAAUCUGAUGCUAGCUCAGGUUCUUCUAUACUUCCCCUGACAGUCUUGGACAUAGAGGUACGAAUGAGAUUCUUAGCCAUUCUAUUGGAUCUAUGCCACUUCUUGUAAAGGCUUAUCCUCAGUAAAGCAAUAGUCUAUAUUCUCAUGCAUUCCCAUAUAGUUUUCUACAGAAUCUAGCCAAGCUCUAUAGUUGGUUCCAGUUAGC